GACAAGGGACAAAAUUGCAGUCGGAAAGACCAAACAAGAAGCUCUGAUGAUCUGGUUGCAAUGGCAGCGGGAAUGGAGAGAAUUAUAACAGUUGGGAGUCUUCUUAGACUUCUCGUUUAUAAUCAGAGCAGUGGAGUGGAUUGGCAAAGCAGGUACAUCAAAUGAAGAUACGCUGAGUAAGACUUUGACCAAAGAUCUGACUCAAGAGUUAGGAAGGAAGAAGUUACCUUAAAAAAGUAUCAACCCCUACCCUAGUGGUUGGGAAAGACUCAACAGGACAUUGGAAGCAAAGAAGAGGGGGGAGAAGGUUACAGAUAUUUUCUAGUUGAGUUAUCAGCUUCAAUCAUUGAUGAAAAAGAGCUUUUUGGCAGGACAGCAGGAGAUACUAUGCACAGAGUGGAGUAUAAUGCACAUCCAUUCCUACAAGAAUGAAUGGAGCAGGUGCAUUAGGUUGCUGUAUCCAGUGUAGCUGUUCAGCCAGAGCAAAGUAUAGAGCAAGAAUAAAAGAGUUGAGGAUUUAAUACUAAUACAGUUGUUUUCAGGUGUACUUGAAAUCCUCUGACUUGGUCAGCUGUUAGGAGCUGGAGAUGAUGGGGGAAGUAGAAAGUGAAGGAUAUAGUUGGCAGUUCUCAGUGUCAUUUUAGCUCUAUUGGACUCUUAAGACAGGAGUUGCUGAACUACUUCUGUAAAGGGACGGAUGAAAAAUACUUUAGGCUUCUGGGCCACUCACUAUUGUAACUACCCACCUCUGCCAUUGCAACUCAGAACCAAAUGAGCAUAUCUUUGUCCCACUAAAACUUUAUUUACACCACCAGA
Long non-coding RNA from Leopardus geoffroyi (Geoffroy's cat), 816 nucleotides. RefSeq lists it as uncharacterized. The transcript is spliced from 2 exons. Lineage: Eukaryota; Metazoa; Chordata; Mammalia; Carnivora; Felidae. The record is from RefSeq and is a predicted model, not a curated record.